Molecule: long non-coding RNA, 1374 nt
Organism: Daphnia magna
Lineage: Eukaryota; Metazoa; Arthropoda; Branchiopoda; Diplostraca; Daphniidae
Exons: 2
Source: RefSeq, a predicted model, not a curated record
UGCGGUUUUCCCUCAAUAAAAAUUCGUGCAGGAACGUAAAAAAAUAAAAAAUCCUACCCAUUCGCCAUCUAGCGGUCGAUUAUCAACUAUGUUCCCCCAAUUUAUUUUUGUUUAACGUUGCUGCGCAGCCCAUGACACAGCGACACAGCUAAACCGAUUGUAUUGUAAUAAUCCUGUUGAUUUACAUCUCAGUAUUUGUUUUUUCUGAAACUAGUCGUCACGUAAGUGAGCACGGCAUGGCACAAAAUGGAUUCGUUCGUCAAAAGCAUCAGGUAAGAUGCUUAUUAAAUCAUUACGUUUCAAGCUGACAUCCCAUUCCUACUUUGUAUAUCAUCGUCUUCACACAAACAAAUGGUCACUGUUUACAAUCCGUAUGAUUUUGUGGUGAGUUUCAAAGGUGUGGUAAAAAUAAAAUGUUUUUAUUGUUUCCUGGCAUAUGGAGAUAACAUUGUACAAGUUUUUUAUUUUUAUAGUGCUAUGCAAUGCACCACACAAGUACCGGAUUGUUGAUCCUGAAGGAUCCAUUAAACCUAAUUGUUGUGUAGAUAUAGUUACACGUCAUAUUUCUAUAUUGCCAACCUGCUACCAUGUUAAAGACAAGUUCAGGAUUCAAAUGAAUUAUCACAUUAGCAGGCAAUUGUUAGGGAAAAAGGAUCUAUCAGUUACUUUAUUACCAGGAAAAUCCUCAGGAAUCUCAGAAUCUACUGCUACUAGUCAGGAUACAUACAAGCAAUUCUCCACAGAGCUGACUGCAACCUCUUCUGGUGAUUCAAGUGCACCAAUCAUGCAAAUCCAGGCUUAUUCUGAAAACCUUGCAAAACUAGGUUUUCCUUUGCUUUUACUUUUCUUCAGCUGUCACUAAAACAUUGCAUUUCUAUAGGUUAUCAAACUGCUGGGCAAAACUAUAUUGCUAUUGUGGUAGCAAUUAUUUGUAUUAUAGCUCUAAUGUUGCCUUCUGAUGAGUCUGAAAGCAGCCCAUCAUCAUCUCUGUGAUCCUUGUUCCAUUUGUCUUCUCAGCAGAAAUUGGUAUUUGCCUAUUCUCUUGGUCUGGUUACAAUGGUCAUAUUUCGAGUAUAAGCCUUUCUCCUAUAGGAAAUUACGGGAAAUGCAAAGAAUUGGCAACUUUGUAUUCGCCUACAAAAUGCGAGAAUAUCGUUGAGAUUUCUUAAUGUCGGAUUUAUAAAAAAAAAGAACAUUUAGAUAAUUUAUAAAGUAAUCUGAACACGGCUGUUCUCUUGAUUGACACAUGCAAAUGAACACGAAACUCGCAUUUGUUAAAAUGGAAUGUCAUGUCCGCGAUUGCAGACAAAACUCUAACCACCCUGUAAUAUUCCCAAUGAAUUGCAAUAAAAAACAAUUAUUAUUUUACACAAA